This 595-nucleotide ribosomal RNA is filed under the name Enterobacter soli. RNAcentral's name for it is "bacterial SSU rRNA". It matches the Rfam family "Bacterial small subunit ribosomal RNA", at positions 72 to 669 of the family's 1533-position model. The record is from RNAcentral. Lineage: Bacteria; Pseudomonadati; Pseudomonadota; Gammaproteobacteria; Enterobacterales; Enterobacteriaceae.
UUGCUCCUGGGUGACGAGCGGCGGACGGGUGAGUAAUGUCUGGGAAACUGCCUGAUGGAGGGGGAUAACUACUGGAAACGGUAGCUAAUACCGCAUAACGUCGCAAGACCAAAGAGGGGGACCUUCGGGCCUCUUGCCAUCAGAUGUGCCCAGAUGGGAUUAGCUAGUAGGUGGGGUAAUGGCUCACCUAGGCGACGAUCCCUAGCUGGUCUGAGAGGAUGACCAGCCACACUGGAACUGAGACACGGUCCAGACUCCUACGGGAGGCAGCAGUGGGGAAUAUUGCACAAUGGGCGCAAGCCUGAUGCAGCCAUGCCGCGUGUAUGAAGAAGGCCUUCGGGUUGUAAAGUACUUUCAGCGAGGAGGAAGGCAUUAAGGUUAAUAACCUUGGUGAUUGACGUUACUCGCAGAAGAAGCACCGGCUAACUCCGUGCCAGCAGCCGCGGUAAUACGGAGGGUGCAAGCGUUAAUCGGAAUUACUGGGCGUAAAGCGCACGCAGGCGGUCUGUCAAGUCGGAUGUGAAAUCCCCGGGCUCAACCUGGGAACUGCAUUCGAAACUGGCAGGCUAGAGUCUUGUAGAGGGGGGUAGAAUUC